RNAcentral lists this unclassified non-coding RNA (250 nucleotides) under Hevea brasiliensis (rubber tree). The record is from RNAcentral. Lineage: Eukaryota; Viridiplantae; Streptophyta; Magnoliopsida; Malpighiales; Euphorbiaceae.
AAAAUAUGCAAAUAUUGGUUCCAAAUUUAUAAAUGAAAUCCUUCUCAUCACUGGUAUAUCCGUCUUUUCUAACUAAUAGAAUGUGCAUUUUUUUAACCUUAAUAUUUUUUGAAACAUUCUUAAACUUAAUAUAAUCACAACAGCAUUAAUUUUCUGGUAACGGUAAUAAAGUCAUUACAUCAAUUUUCAGUCACACAAUUAAAUAAAUGGAUGGGAUUUUAAUUUUUAGAUAACAUUAUCCUGAACCCAA